Ipomoea triloba (trilobed morning glory) is the source of this 221-nucleotide long non-coding RNA. RefSeq lists it as uncharacterized. The transcript is spliced from 3 exons. The record is from RefSeq and is a predicted model, not a curated record. NCBI's taxonomy places the organism in Eukaryota, Viridiplantae, Streptophyta, Magnoliopsida, Solanales, Convolvulaceae.
GUUCAGCUGCUGUGAGGAAGGAAAUUUCAGAUGAAACUGAUUGUGAGACAGGCCGUACUAAAGCAAUCUCAAGUGUUCCUAUUUAUCUCAGUAUAUAUUCUCCUAAUGUUGUGAACUUGACAUUGAUUGAUCUUCCUGGACUUACUAAAGUUGCUGUCUAGGGUCAACCAGAAAGCAUUGUUCAUGACAUUGAAAACAUGGUUCGCUCUUACAUUGAGAAG